AAGGUCUUAUCUUAAUUAAAGUCCCUGGGUUGCAUUCAGGAGAUGUUGGAUAUUAUCCUGCAGACCUUA
This 69-nucleotide transfer RNA is filed under the name Uraeotyphlus cf. oxyurus MW-212. RNAcentral's name for it is "tRNA-Ala". The record is from RNAcentral. Lineage: Eukaryota; Metazoa; Chordata; Amphibia; Gymnophiona; Ichthyophiidae.